Molecule: ribosomal RNA, 468 nt
Filed under: uncultured bacterium
Lineage: Bacteria
Description: partial 16S ribosomal RNA
Rfam family: Bacterial small subunit ribosomal RNA
Source: RNAcentral
GACGAACGCUGGCGGCGUGCUUAACACAUGCAAGUCGAACGGAAAGGCCCUGCUUUUGUGGGGUGCUCGAGUGGCGAACGGGUGAGUAACACGUGAGUAACCUGCCCUUGACUUUGGGAUAACUUCAGGAAACUGGGGCUAAUACCGGAUAGGAGCUCCUGCUGCAUGGUGGGGGUUGGAAAGUUUCGGCGGUUGGGGAUGGACUCGCGGCUUAUCAGCUUGUUGGUGGGGUAGUGGCUUACCAAGGCUUUGACGGGUAGCCGGCCUGAGAGGGUGACCGGACACAUUGGGACUGAGAUACGGACCAGACUCCUACGGGAGGCAGCAGUGGGGAAUAUUGCACAAUGGGAGGAAGCCUGAUGCAGCAACGCCGCGUGCGGGAUGACGGCCUUCGGGUUGUAAACCGCUUUCGCCUGUGACGAAGCGUGAGUGACGGUAAUGGGUAAAGAAGCACCGGCUAACUACGUG